RNAcentral lists this ribosomal RNA (502 nucleotides) under uncultured bacterium. RNAcentral describes it as "bacterial SSU rRNA". It matches the Rfam family "Bacterial small subunit ribosomal RNA", at positions 25 to 518 of the family's 1533-position model. The record is from RNAcentral.
CAGGAUGAACGCUAGCGACAGGCUAACACAUGCAAGUCGAGGGGCAGCACGGGAGUAGCAAUACAACUGGUGGCGACCGGCGCACGGGUGAGUAACGCGUAUGCAACCUACCUAUCAGAGGGGAAUAACCCGGCGAAAGUCGGACUAAUACCGCAUAAAACAGGGGCACCGCAUGGUGAUAUUUGUUAAAGAGAUUCGCUGAUAGAUGGGCAUGCGUUCCAUUAGGUAGUUGGUGAGGUAACGGCUCACCAAGCCGACGAUGGAUAGGGGAACUGAGAGGUUGGUCCCCCACACUGGUACUGAGACACGGACCAGACUCCUACGGGAGGCAGCAGUGAGGAAUAUUGGUCAAUGGGCGGGAGCCUGAACCAGCCAAGUCGCCGUGAAGGAAGAAGGAUCUAUGGUUCGUAAACUUCUUUUGCAGGGGAAUAAAGUGCAGGACGUGUCCUGUUUUGUAUGUACCCUGAGAAUAAGGAUCGGCUAACUCCGUGCCAGCAGCGGC